AUAAGGACAGAUAGGGAGGUCAGGGCCUGGGAUUCAUCCCAACAACAAGCUUUUGAUCAAAGAUGUGAUAAAGAGCUUGCUGUAGAUCACCUCCUGAUUUUCACUAUUGAUUGGCUGCUAACAUUUGGGUUUGUAGUGUUGGAGAGAACACAAUGUUCCCUGAACUCUGCCGACGCUGAUAUGCAUGCUGACUGAAUGCUGAUCAAAGAUGAUCCAAGUGAUGAAACCUUUAAAGCCGAAGAGUCAGAUGUGCCUGCUGAUUUGGACUGGUUAGAAGAAUUGUCUGAAGAGGAUGAUGGUGUUGACGAUGGUGACCUUGCGGUUGUAAGAAGAGGAGUUCUGCCGAGACAGCACGGAUGUUCAAGCUGAGACGAAACCUCGACCAGCUGGACUGCUUUCACCGACAGAAGGAGCAUGACGUGCUGAAAGCCAGGUCUGAACCUGGCACUGACAGACCUCUAGAGCUACAGAAGCUCCUUACCUACAUUUUGUGAACCUUUCUAGACUCCACACAAACCAGUACCAGUAGAAAAGCUUUUUUAUGAGAAUUUAAAAAAAAUACACAGGCUUUUGCCCA
Astatotilapia calliptera (eastern happy) is the source of this 577-nucleotide long non-coding RNA. The record is from Ensembl. NCBI's taxonomy places the organism in Eukaryota, Metazoa, Chordata, Actinopteri, Cichliformes, Cichlidae.